RNAcentral lists this ribosomal RNA (979 nucleotides) under Pseudomonas aeruginosa. RNAcentral's name for it is "partial 23S ribosomal RNA". It matches the Rfam family "Bacterial large subunit ribosomal RNA", at positions 1 to 1022 of the family's 2925-position model. Lineage: Bacteria; Pseudomonadati; Pseudomonadota; Gammaproteobacteria; Pseudomonadales; Pseudomonadaceae. The record is from RNAcentral.
GGUUAAGCGACUAAGCGUACACGGUGGAUGCCCUGGCAGUCAGAGGCGAUGAAGGACGUGCUAAUCUGCGAAAAGCGUCGGUAAGGUGAUAUGAACCGUUAUAACCGGCGAUGUCCGAAUGGGGAAACCCAGUGCAAUUCGUUGCACUAUCGUUAACUGAAUACAUAGGUUAACGAGGCGAACCGGGGGAACUGAAACAUCUAAGUACCCCGAGGAAAAGAAAUCAACCGAGAUUCCCCCAGUAGCGGCGAGCGAACGGGGAGCAGCCCAGAGUCUGAAUCAGCUUGUGUGUUAGUGGAACGGUCUGGAAAGUCCGACGGUACAGGGUGAUAGUCCCGUACACCAAAAUGCACAGGCUGUGAACUCGAAGAGUAGGGCGGGACACGUGGUAUCCUGUCUGAAUAUGGGGGGACCAUCCUCCAAGGCUAAAUACUCCUGACUGACCGAUAGUGAACCAGUACCGUGAGGGAAAGGCGAAAAGAACCCCGGCGAGGGGAGUGAAAAAGAACCUGAAACCGUGUACGUACAAGCAGUGGGAGCACCUUCGGGUGUGACUGCGUACCUUUUGUAUAAUGGGUCAGCGACUUAUAUUCUGUAGCAAGGUUAACCGUAUAGGGGAGCCGCAGGGAAACCGAGUCUUAACUGGGCGUUAAGUUGCAGGGUAUAGACCCGAAACCCGGUGAUCUAGCCAUGGGCAGGUUGAAGGUUGGGUAACACUAACUGGAGGACCGAACCGACUAAUGUUGAAAAAUUAGCGGAUGACUUGUGGCUGGGGGUGAAAGGCCAAUCAAACCGGGAGAUAGCUGGUUCUCCCCGAAAGCUAUUUAGGUAGCGCCUCGUGAAUUCAUCUUCGGGGGUAGAGCACUGUUUCGGCUAGGGGGUCAUCCCGACUUACCAACCCGAUGCAAACUACGAAUACCGAAGAAUGUUAUCACGGGAGACACACGGCGGGUGCUAACGUCCGUCGUGAAGAGGGAAA